RNAcentral lists this ribosomal RNA (429 nucleotides) under Chloroflexota bacterium. RNAcentral's name for it is "Chloroflexi bacterium partial 16S ribosomal RNA". It matches the Rfam family "Bacterial small subunit ribosomal RNA", at positions 355 to 776 of the family's 1533-position model. The record is from RNAcentral. Lineage: Bacteria; Bacillati; Chloroflexota.
UGGGGAAUAUUGCACAAUGGGCGCAAGCCUGAUGCAGCCAUGCCGCGUGUGUGAAGAAGGCCUUCGGGUUGUAAAGCACUUUCAGCGGGGAGGAAGGCGGUGAGGUUAAUAACCUCAUCGAUUGACGUUACCCGCAGAAGAAGCACCGGCUAACUCCGUGCCAGCAGCCGCGGUAAUACGGAGGGUGCAAGCGUUAAUCGGAAUUACUGGGCGUAAAGCGCACGCAGGCGGUCUGUCAAGUCGGAUGUGAAAUCCCCGGGCUCAACCUGGGAACUGCAUUCGAAACUGGUCAGCUAGAGUCUUGUAGAGGGGGGUAGAAUUCCAUGUGUAGCGGUGAAAUGCGUAGAGAUGUGGAGGAAUACCGGUGGCGAAGGCGGCCCCCUGGACAAAGACUGACGCUCAGGUGCGAAAGCGUGGGGAGCAAACAGG